Molecule: ribosomal RNA, 459 nt
Filed under: uncultured bacterium
Lineage: Bacteria
Description: partial 16S ribosomal RNA
Rfam family: Bacterial small subunit ribosomal RNA
Source: RNAcentral
CCUACGGGUGGCUGCAGUGAGGAAUAUUGGUCAAUGGGCGAGAGCCUGAACCAGCCAAGUCGCGUGAGGGAUGACGGUCCUAUGGAUUGUAAACCUCUUUUGUCGGGGAACAAAGGCGUCCACGUGUGGACUGAUGAGUGUACCCGACGAAAACGCGUCGGCUAACUCCGUUCCAGCAGCCGCGGUAAUACGGGGGAUGCGAGCGUUAUCCGGAUUUAUUGGGUUUAAGGGGUGCGUAGGCGGACAGUCAAGUCAGCGGUAAAAAUGCGGUGCUCAACGCCGUACAGCCGUUGAAACUGGCAGUCUUGAGUGGGCGAGAAGUAUGCGGAAUGCGUGGUGUAGCGGUGAAAUGCAUAGAGAUAACGCAGAACUCCGAUUGCGAAGGCAGCAUACCGGCGCCCUACUGACGCUGAGGCACGAAAGCGUGGGUAUCGAACAGGAUUAGAUACCCCAGUAGUC